Molecule: ribosomal RNA, 1486 nt
Filed under: metagenome
Description: bacterial SSU rRNA
Rfam family: Bacterial small subunit ribosomal RNA
Source: RNAcentral
AGAGUUUGAUCAUGGCUCAGGAUGAACGCUAGCUACAGGCUUAACACAUGCAAGUCGAGGGGCAGCAUGGUCUUAGCUUGCUAAGGCCGAUGGCGACCGGCGCACGGGUGAGUAACACGUAUCCAACCUGCCGUCUACUCUUGGACAGCCUUCUGAAAGGAAGAUUAAUACAAGAUGGCAUCAUGAGUCCGCAUGUUCACAUGAUUAAAGGUAUUCCGGUAGACGAUGGGGAUGCGUUCCAUUAGAUAGUAGGCGGGGUAACGGCCCACCUAGUCUUCGAUGGAUAGGGGUUCUGAGAGGAAGGUCCCCCACAUUGGAACUGAGACACGGUCCAAACUCCUACGGGAGGCAGCAGUGAGGAAUAUUGGUCAAUGGGCGAGAGCCUGAACCAGCCAAGUAGCGUGAAGGAUGACUGCCCUAUGGAUUGUAAACUUCUUUUAUAAAGGAAUAAAGUCGGGUAUGCAUACCCGUUUGCAUGUACUUUAUGAAUAAGGAUCGGCUAACUCCGUGCCAGCAGCCGCGGUAAUACGGAGGAUCCGAGCGUUAUCCGGAUUUAUUGGGUUUAAAGGGAGCGUAGAUGGAUGUUUAAGUCAGUUGUGAAAGUUUGCGGCUCAACCGUAAAAUUGCAGUUGAUACUGGAUAUCUUGAGUGCAGUUGAGGCAGGCGGAAUUCGUGGUGUAGCGGUGAAAUGCUUAGAUAUCACGAAGAACUCCGAUUGCGAAGGCAGCCUGCUAAGCUGCAACUGACAUUGAGGCUCGAAAGUGUGGGUAUCAAACAGGAUUAGAUACCCUGGUAGUCCACACGGUAAACGAUGAAUACUCGCUGUUUGCGUUAUACAGCAAGCGGCCAAGCGAAAGCGUUAAGUAUUCCACCUGGGGAGUACGCCGGCAACGGUGAAACUCAAAGGAAUUGACGGGGGCCCGCACAAGCGGAGGAACAUGUGGUUUAAUUCGAUGAUACGCGAGGAACCUUACCCGGGCUUAAAUUGCAGAUGAAUUACGGUGAAAGCCGUAAGCCGCAAGGCAUCUGUGAAGGUGCUGCAUGGUUGUCGUCAGCUCGUGCCGUGAGGUGUCGGCUUAAGUGCCAUAACGAGCGCAACCCUUGUUGUCAGUUACUAACAGGUUCUGCUGAGGACUCUGACAAGACUGCCAUCGUAAGAUGUGAGGAAGGUGGGGAUGACGUCAAAUCAGCACGGCCCUUACGUCCGGGGCUACACACGUGUUACAAUGGGGGGUACAGAGGGCCGCUACCACGCGAGUGGAUGCCAAUCCCCAAAACCUCUCUCAGUUCGGACUGGAGUCUGCAACCCGACUCCACGAGGCUGGAUUCGCUAGUAAUCGCGCAUCAGCCACGGCGCGGUGAAUACGUUCCCGGGCCUUGUACACACCGCCCGUCAAGCCAUGGGAGCCGGGGGUACCUGAAGUGCGUAACCGCGAGGAGCGCCCUAGGGUAAAACUGGUGACUGGGGCUAAGUCGUAACAAGGUA